GAUGAACGCUGGCGGCGUGCCUAAUACAUGCAAGUCGAGCGAACAGACGAGGAGCUUGCUCCUCUGACGUUAGCGGCGGACGGGUGAGUAACACGUGGAUAACCUACCUAUAAGACUGGGAUAACUUCGGGAAACCGGAGCUAAUACCGGAUAAUAUAUUGAACCGCAUGGUUCAAUAGUGAAAGACGGUUUUGCUGUCACUUAUAGAUGGAUCCGCGCCGCAUUAGCUAGUUGGUAAGGUAACGGCUUACCAAGGCAACGAUGCGUAGCCGACCUGAGAGGGUGAUCAGCCACACUGGAACUGAGACACGGUCCAGACGCCUACGGGAGGCAGCAGUAGGGAAUCUUCCGCAAUGGGCGAAAGCCUGACGGAGCAGCGCCGCGUGAGUGAUGAAGGUCUUCGGAUCGUAAAACUCUGUUAUUAGGGAAGAACAAAUGUGUAAGUAUCUAUGCACGUCUUGACGGUACCUAAUCAGAGAGCCACGGCUAACUACGUG
RNAcentral lists this ribosomal RNA (497 nucleotides) under uncultured bacterium. RNAcentral's name for it is "partial 16S ribosomal RNA". It matches the Rfam family "Bacterial small subunit ribosomal RNA", at positions 28 to 507 of the family's 1533-position model. The record is from RNAcentral.